CAGCCAGUGGUGAAUUAGCAGAUGAACGCACCCAAGCACUGCCGGGCUCUCAGAUACAGAUGGCUCCCACGGGAAGUGUGACACAGGAGCACAGACAUGAAUGUGCACGUGGGCAGAGAUACACACACAUGCCCAGAGGGCGUGAGUCACAGAGAAGAGGCAGAGGGCCAUGGCGAGCUCCACGCUGACAACCCCAGCCCUGGCUACAUUCUUAGAUGCCCAACUUCAGUAGCACCUGGUACCAGGUACCUGCUUGGUUUGGCCACCCUGGAGCUUCUGGAAAGGUGAAUGGAUGUCAUCUUCAACUCGAGCACUUUAAGGAAACAGGUGGGGAGAAGUGGCUGGCUAGGAGUCAGAGCUGGGAUUUGAACCCAGGAAUAUCACAGCACAAUCUGCUGUGUGAUAGGCCCCUUCCUCUCUCCUGGACUCAGCUUUCUCAUCUGUUGAAUGGGAAUGCUAACUCUGGAACCUCGAAGAUCCAAGUUGGGACUUCUUGCUGCCCGGAGGCCAGGUCCCCACCCAGAAGCCUAGAACAUCUCUGUGGGCCUGGGCAGGAGAGAAGGGCAGGUGUAGACAUGACUGCUCCGCAGGUGGGUGGGGGAUGGGGGCGCUGCCGGCAGGCACGCAAAAACAACUAAAUAAAUCAGGACCGGGGGACUCCUAAUCCUUCCCGGCUGUGGCUGCUACCGCUCACGCGGCCGGGUCCGCCAUCGCCUGGCUGGCUCCCCGGGCAUGGGAGGGGGACAUGGCACGGCCAAGAGUGCAGAGUCGGGCCAACAGGAUCGGAGCGAUGCCCAGCGGUCAAGGCGGCCUCGGCUCUCGAGACUGGGAAGGCCCUGCCGGCAGGGUGACUCAGGCCUCCCAGACCCCCUCCUGCGUAGGCACGCUCCCUGGCCUCGAUCUAUUUUUAGAGCCUGAGCGUCGAGGGGCGGCGGGGGGAGGUUCAUGGGGGUGCAGGCGCCUGACCAGCUUCUCCAGCUCAGGACUUAAGCCCCAGGACCUCUAGCUGUCUGUCUAGCAAAGAACGGAAACACUUGGGGUGUAGGGG
This 1048-nucleotide long non-coding RNA is filed under the name Bos mutus (wild yak). RNAcentral's name for it is "lncRNA (ENSBMUG00000008394.1)". The record is from RNAcentral. Lineage: Eukaryota; Metazoa; Chordata; Mammalia; Artiodactyla; Bovidae.